Pistacia vera is the source of this 270-nucleotide long non-coding RNA. RefSeq lists it as uncharacterized. NCBI's taxonomy places the organism in Eukaryota, Viridiplantae, Streptophyta, Magnoliopsida, Sapindales, Anacardiaceae. The transcript is spliced from 3 exons. The record is from RefSeq and is a predicted model, not a curated record.
AAAUUGAUAGGAAUUUAAUUGAAAACGAGCAAGCGAAUCAGUUCAGUCCGUUGAAUUCAAUCAAAACGACCUAAAUAAGAGGAAGAGAAGAAAGCAAUUUAGAUCUUAACAUGGCGCCUGUUGGUCCUCGAUCCGGUGAUGCUAUCUUCGCCAACAUGGAACGCGUGAAUGCUGAGCUUUUUACCUUAACUUAUGGCGCCACCGUGCGUCAGUUACUCACGGAUCUGGAAGAGGUCGACGAAGUUAACAAACAGCUCGAUCAAAUGUACG